Molecule: ribosomal RNA, 274 nt
Filed under: uncultured bacterium
Lineage: Bacteria
Description: partial 16S ribosomal RNA
Rfam family: Bacterial small subunit ribosomal RNA
Source: RNAcentral
AUACAGAGGGUGCGAGCGUUAAUCGGAAUUACUGGGCGUAAAGCGCGCGUAGGCGGCUUAUUAAGUCAGAUGUGAAAUCCCCGGGCUCAACCUGGGAACUGCAUCUGAUACUGGUAAGCUCGAGUUUUGGAGAGGGAAGUAGAAUUUCAGGUGUAGCGGUGAAAUGCAUAGAGAUCUGAAGGAAUACCAGUGGCGAAGGCGACUUCCUGGCCAAAAACUGACGCUGAGGUGCGAAAGCGUGGGUAGCAAACGGGAUUAGAAACCCCAGUAGUCC